Molecule: ribosomal RNA, 376 nt
Filed under: uncultured bacterium
Lineage: Bacteria
Description: bacterial SSU rRNA
Rfam family: Bacterial small subunit ribosomal RNA
Source: RNAcentral
AUUGAACGCUGGCGGCAUGCCUUACACAUGCAAGUCGAACGGCAGCACGGGAGCAAUCCUGGUGGCGAGUGGCGAACGGGUGAGUAAUAUAUCGGAACGUGCCCGGUCGUGGGGAUAACGUAGCGAAAGCUACGCUAAUACCGCAUACGAUCUACGGAUGAAAGCGGGGGAUCGCAAGACCUCGCGCGAUUGGAGCGGCCGAUAUCAGAUUAGGUAGUUGGUGAGGUAAAGGCUCACCAAGCCGACGAUCUGUAGCUGGUCUGAGAGGACGACCAGCCACACUGGGACUGAGACACGGCCCAGACUCCUACGGGAGGCAGCAGUGAGGAAUAUUGGACAAUGGGCGCAAGCCUGAUCCAGCCAUGCCGCGUGCAGG